This 207-nucleotide ribosomal RNA is filed under the name uncultured Actinomycetales bacterium. RNAcentral describes it as "partial 16S ribosomal RNA". It matches the Rfam family "Bacterial small subunit ribosomal RNA", at positions 568 to 774 of the family's 1533-position model. The record is from RNAcentral. Lineage: Bacteria; Bacillati; Actinomycetota; Actinomycetes; Actinomycetales.
CUCGUAGGCGGUUUGUCGCGUCUGCUGUGAAAACCUGGGGCUUAACCCCGGGCCUGCAGUGGGUACGGGCAGACUAGAGUGCGGUAGGGGAGACUGGAAUUCCUGGUGUAGCGGUGAAAUGCGCAGAUAUCAGGAGGAACACCGAUGGCGAAGGCAGGUCUCUGGGCCGUAACUGACGCUGAGGAGCGAAAGCGUGGGGAGCGAACA